RNAcentral lists this unclassified non-coding RNA (212 nucleotides) under Hevea brasiliensis (rubber tree). Lineage: Eukaryota; Viridiplantae; Streptophyta; Magnoliopsida; Malpighiales; Euphorbiaceae. The record is from RNAcentral.
UCCAGAUGGAUCAAAAGGGAUUGUGAAAGUUAAGGGGCCGCAAGUAAUGAAAGGUUACUACAAGAAUCCAAUGGCGACAAAGCAAGUGUUGGAUGAGGAUGGUUGGCUAAACACUGGUGAUAUUGGUUGGAUUGCUCCUUACCAUUCAGUAGGACGAAGCCGUUGUUGUGGAGGUGUUAUUGUCCUUCAAGGGCGAGCUAAGGAUACCAUAG